This 428-nucleotide long non-coding RNA is filed under the name Medicago truncatula (barrel medic). RNAcentral's name for it is "lncRNA gene30142". The record is from RNAcentral. Lineage: Eukaryota; Viridiplantae; Streptophyta; Magnoliopsida; Fabales; Fabaceae.
GUCUAUGUGACUGAUUCAUAUAUGUCAUUCUCUCUGCUUAGAAAAAAAAAAUCAUAUAUGAAAAAUAUAGCACCGAAGAAUUAAAAUACAAAUAACACAAAAGUGAGAUUUGAUCUUGUUUGUUGGACCAAAAAUAAUGAGAACAAGGACCCCAUAAGUUCCAUUCAAAAUUGUUAAACCACAUCAUGGAAAAUUCAAAUUUCCUAUGGCUUCAAAUGGCACGUGGAAAGUGGAGGGACCAUAUUUAUAAUUAUUACAAAGAUGAUAACUAAUCAGAAAAUAACCAUGUUUGAAAGUAAAUUAAACUGAAUUAACAGUAAAAUGUGGAAAUUUUGGAUUAUAAGGGACCCAAAACUUGAUUGCAAAUUGGAAUCAACUUAGGACCACAAAAUUUUCCGUUGAUCCUCCUUUGUACAAUUGAAAGUGGU